RNAcentral lists this long non-coding RNA (1079 nucleotides) under Sinocyclocheilus grahami. RNAcentral's name for it is "lncRNA (ENSSGRG00000053049.1)". The record is from RNAcentral. Lineage: Eukaryota; Metazoa; Chordata; Actinopteri; Cypriniformes; Cyprinidae.
GUGCUGUAUGAAGUGGCAUACUGUCUAUAUGCACAAACUAAAGCUGACUAUCUGUGUCCACGCAGUGAAGCCGGGUCAAUGUCCCAUACCGGAGACAAUUCCACUGUGUGCUGAAAGCUGUUUCCAUGAUGGCCAGUGUCCUGCCACAUGUUGCCCAACCACCGGUGGCAUUGCAUGCCGUGAACCACGUGGUCAGGGAAGAGGUCAGGCAAGUUGUCAGGAAAGCGGCCAUGGUCCGGGAAGCAGCCAGAGAAGUGGCCAGGGAAGUGGCGAGGGAAGCGGCCAGGGAAGCGGUUAUGGCCAGGGCAGCGGCCAGGGAAGCGGUUAUGGCCAGGGAAGCGGUUAUGGCCAGGGAAGCGGUUAUGGCCAGGGUAGCGGCCAGGGAAAGCGGUUAUGGCCAGGGUAGUGGCCAGGGAAGCGGUUAUGGCCAGGGUAGCGGCCAGGGAAGCGGUUAUGGCCAGGGCCAGGGAAGCGGUUAUGGCCAGGGAAGCGGUUAUGGCCAGGGUAGCGGUUAUGGCCAGGGAAGCGGCUAUGGUCAGGGAAGUGGUUAUGGUCAGGGAAGUGGUUAUGGUCAGGGAAGCAGUCAGGGUCAGGGAAGUGGUUAUGGUCAGGGGAAUGGUCAGGGAUGUGGUCAAGGAAAUGGUCAAGGAUGUGGUCAUUGAAAUCAUCAUGGGACUUCUGCAUGACUCUUACUGGAGAACUUUUCAAUUCAGUGCCUUAUUCAUAUGGCAUGCUUUCCCUGUUUGCUCAAACAGUCUAGAAAGACUUUCUCAACUUUUUGUUAUUAUUAUUAUAUAAGCCUAUAAAUGCCGAGGUCCGGAUCUCACAGAUCUCAUUCUGGGAACGGCAGUGUGUUCAACUCUGUUUUUAUACAGUCUAUGGCAGAGUUCCUCAAAUCUUGCCCUGGUGGGCCAAUGCGCUGCAGAGUUUAGCUCCAACCCUGAUCAAACUCACCUACCUGUGAUUUUCUAAUGAUCCUGAAGACAUUGAUUAGCAUGCUCAGGUGUGUUUGAUUAGGGUUAGAGCUAAACUCUGCAGGAAAGUUUAUCUCGUGGGCCAGAUUUGAGGAUCCGUGGUCU